Molecule: long non-coding RNA, 1875 nt
Filed under: Betta splendens (Siamese fighting fish)
Lineage: Eukaryota; Metazoa; Chordata; Actinopteri; Anabantiformes; Osphronemidae
Description: lncRNA (ENSBSLG00000015320.1)
Source: RNAcentral
AUGUCCUCCAGGCCGACGCUGAUCCUGGAGACCGAGGGGUCGAGGCGGACGUCGCCGCAGGAGGCAGCGCCAUCCAAACGGCCGGAAGCGCCGAGGGCGAGGCCACCAGUCCGGCAGCCGAGACCGAGACGAGACAGGAACCAGAGACGAAGACAGACGUGGAGACGUCCUCCUUGGACCUCUGCGACGAGACGCAGGUACAGAUGCGGCCGGAGCCGGGCCGCCAGGAACCGAUGCAGGUGCGGCCGAAGCCGAGCCGCCAGGAACCGAUGCAGGUGCGGCCGGAGCCGAGCCCCCAGGAACCGAUGCAGGUGCGGCCGGAGCCGAGCCGCCAGGAACCGAUGCAGGUGCGGCCGGAGCCGAGCCGCCAGGAACCGAUGCAGGUGCGGCCGAAGCCGAGCCGCCAGGAACCGAUGCAGGUGCAGCGGGAGCUGCGACGGGAGCGACCCCCUCCUGGAGGUCCGCCGGGACUGCGACGGGCGCGACCCCCUCCUGGGGGUCCGCCGGGACUGCGACGGGCGCGACCCCCUCCUGGGGGUCCGCCGGGACUGCGACGGGCGCGACCCCCUCCUGGGGGUCCGCCGGGACAGCGACGGGCGCGACCCCCUCCUGGGGGUCCGCCGGGACUGCGACGGGCGCGACCCCCUCCUGGAGGUCCGCCGGGACUGCGACGGGCGCGACCCCCUCCUGGAGGUCCGCCGGGACUGCGACGGGCGCGACCCCCUCCUGGAGGUCCGCCGGGACUGCGACGGGCGCGACCCCCUCCUGGGGGUCCGCCGGGACAGCGACGGGCGCGACCCCCUCCUGGGGGUCCGCCGGGACAGCGACGGGCGCGACCCCCUCCUGGGGGUCCGCCGGGACAGCGGCGGGCGCGACCCCCUCCUGGGGGUCCGCCGGGACUGCGACGGGCGCGACCCCCUCCUGGAGGUCCGCCGGGACUGCGACGGGCGCGACCCCCUCCUGGAGGUCCGCCGGGACUGCGACGGGCGCGACCCCCUCCUGGGGGUCCGCCGGGACAGCGACGGGCGCGACCCCCUCCUGGGGGUCCGCCGGGACUGCGGCGGGCGCGACCCCCUCCUGGGGGUCCGCCGGGACUGCGGCGGGCGCGACCCCCUCCUGGGGGUGCGCGGGGUCUGCAGCUGGCGCGACCCCCUCCUGGGGGUGCGCGGGGUCUGCAGCUGGCGCGACCUCCUCCUGGAGGUGCGCGGGGUCUGCAGCUGGCGCGACCUCCUCCUGGAGGUGCGCGGGGUCUGCAGCUGGCGCGACCUCCUCCUGGAGGUGCGCGGGGUCUGCAGCUGGCGCGACCUCCUCCUGGAGGUGCGCGGGGUCUGCAGCUGGCGCGACCUCCUCCUGGAGGUGCGCGGGGACUGCAGCUGGCGCGACCUCCUCCUGGAGGUGCGCGGGGUCUGCAGCUGGCGCGACCUCCUCCUGGAGGUGCGCGGGGACUGCAGCUGGCGCGACCUCCUCCUGGAGGUGCGCGGGGGACUGCAGCUGGCGCGACCUCCUCCUGGAGGUGCGCGGGGACUGCAGCUGGCGCGACCUCCUCCUGGAGGUGCGCUGCGCGGGGACUGCAGCUGGCGCGACCUGCUCCUGGAGGUGCGCGGGGACUGCAGCUGGCGCGACCUGCUCCUGGAGGUGCGCGGGGACUGCAGCUGGCGCGACCUCCUCCUGGAGGUGCGCCGGGACUGCCACCCCAAGACUGACAGGGACAGGAACGGCAUCUACUUGGCCGACAGGGACAGGAACGGCAUCUACUUGGCCGACAGGGACAGGAACGGCAUCUACUUGGCCGACAGGGACAGGAACGGCAUCUACUUGGCCGACAGGGACAGGAACGGCAUCUACUUGGCCGACAGGGACAGGAACCGGGACUAG